AUUGAACGCUGGCGGCAGGCCUAACACAUGCAAGUCGAGCGGAGCGGCGGACGGGCGAGAAAUGCCUAGGAAUCUGCCUGGUAGUGGGGGAUAACGUCCGGAAACGGGCGCUAAUACCGCAUACUAUCAGAUGAGCCUAGGUCGGAUUAGCUAGUUGGUGGGGUAAAGGCCUACCAAGGCGACGAUCCGUAGCUGGUCUGAGAGGAUGAUCAGUCACACUGGAACGGAGACACGGUCCGGACUCCAUCGGGAGGAGACGGUGGGGAAUAUUGGACAAUGGACGAAGCCCUACUCCGACCAUGCCGAGUAGGUGAAGAAUGGCUUCGGAUUGUAAAGCUCUUUUUGUUGGGAGGCGUUAUCAACAGAAUAAGCACCGGCUAACUCCGUGCCAGCAGCCGCGGUAAUAC
This 407-nucleotide ribosomal RNA is filed under the name uncultured bacterium. Its description in RNAcentral is "partial 16S ribosomal RNA". It matches the Rfam family "Bacterial small subunit ribosomal RNA", at positions 30 to 526 of the family's 1533-position model. The record is from RNAcentral.